This 156-nucleotide small RNA is filed under the name Enterobacter sp. kpr-6. RNAcentral's name for it is "sroC RNA". It matches the Rfam family "sroC RNA". Rfam says of the family: This family consists of a number of bacterial sroC RNA genes of around 160 bases in length. sroC is found in several Enterobacterial species. It base-pairs with GcvB. This interaction triggers the degradation of GcvB by RNase E, alleviating the GcvB-mediated mRNA repression of other amino acid-related transport and metabolic genes. Lineage: Bacteria; Pseudomonadati; Pseudomonadota; Gammaproteobacteria; Enterobacterales; Enterobacteriaceae. The record is from RNAcentral.
AGAACGUAGAACCAUUAGGGGCAGGCUCUCCUGCCCUCUCGAUUAACAAGAAGCACGGACAGACUAUACGUUGAAGGGUCGUUCCCCAUUCAGCGCGAACAUUUAGCUUCUUAUUAAUCUUCGAGGGUAGCGCUGCUACCCUUUUUUUUCAGAGGU